Molecule: ribosomal RNA, 406 nt
Filed under: uncultured bacterium
Lineage: Bacteria
Description: partial 16S ribosomal RNA
Rfam family: Bacterial small subunit ribosomal RNA
Source: RNAcentral
AUUGAACGCUGGCGGCAUGCCUAACACAUGCAAGUCGAACGAGUGGCGGACGGGUGAGUAAUGUCUGGUAAACUGCCCGAUGGAGGGGGAAAACUACUGGAAACUGACUCUACUAACGCAUACCAUCGGAUGUGCCCCGAUGGGAUUAGCUAGUAGGUGGGGGAACGGCUCACCUAGGCGGCGACCCCUCGCUGGUCCGAGAGGAUGACCAGCCACACUGGAACUGCGACACGUGCCAGAUUCCUGCGGGAGGGAGAAGUGGGGAAUAUUGCACAAGGGGCGAAAGCCGGAGGCAGCCAGGCCGCGUGUAGGCAGAAGGCCUUCGGGUUGUAAAGUACUUUCAGCGGGGAGGCGUUACCCGCAGAAGAAGCACCGGCUAACUCCGUGCCAGCAGCCGCGGUAAUAC